Molecule: ribosomal RNA, 449 nt
Filed under: uncultured bacterium
Lineage: Bacteria
Description: bacterial SSU rRNA
Rfam family: Bacterial small subunit ribosomal RNA
Source: RNAcentral
GUGGGGAAUAUUGGACAAUGGGCGAAAGCCUGAUCCAGCAAUACCGCGUGUGUGAAGAAGGCCUUAGGGUUGUAAAGCACUUUUAAUAGGGAGGAACACCUGGUGGUUAAUACCCAUCAGAAUGACAUUACCUAUAGAAAAAGCACCGGCUAACUCCGUGCCAGCAGCCGCGGUAAUACGGAGGGUGCAAGCGUUAAUCGGAAUUACUGGGCGUAAAGCGUGCGUAGGUGGUUGUUUAAGUCAGAUGUGAAAGCCCCGGGCUCAACCUGGGAAUGGCAUUUGAUACUGGGCAACUCGAGUUCGGGAGAGGAGAGUGGAAUUUCAGGUGUAGCGGUGAAAUGCGUAGAGAUCUGAAGGAACACCAGUGGCGAAGGCGACUCUCUGGCCUGAAACUGACGCUGAGGCACGAAAGCAUGGGUAGCAAACAGGAUUAGAAACCCUUGUAGUCC